This 459-nucleotide ribosomal RNA is filed under the name uncultured bacterium. RNAcentral describes it as "partial 16S ribosomal RNA". It matches the Rfam family "Bacterial small subunit ribosomal RNA", at positions 338 to 795 of the family's 1533-position model. The record is from RNAcentral.
CCUACGGGUGGCAGCAGUGAGGAAUAUUGGUCAAUGGGCGGGAGCCUGAACCAGCCAAGCCGCGUGAGGGAAGAAGGUACAGCGUAUCGUAAACCUCUUUUGUCAGGGAACAAAGGCGGGGACUAGUCGCCGGUGGAGGGUACCUGAAGAAAAAGCAUCGGCUAACUCCGUGCCAGCAGCCGCGGUAAUACGGAGGAUGCGAUCGUUAUCCGGAUUUAUUGGGUUUAAAGGGUGCGCAGGCGGGUUAUCAAGUCAGCGGUAAAAGCGCGGGGCUCAACUCCGGCGAGCCGUUGAAACUGGCGGGCUGGAGUUGGAGAGAAGUACGCGGAAUGCGUGGUGUAGCGGUGAAAUGCUUAGAUAUCGCGCAGAACCCCGAUUGCGAAGGCAGCGUACCGGCUCCAGACUGACGCUGAGGCACGAAAGCGUGGGUAUCGAACAGGAUUAGAUACCCCGGUAGUC